Molecule: ribosomal RNA, 548 nt
Filed under: uncultured Glomeromycotina
Lineage: Eukaryota; Fungi; Glomeromycota
Description: SSU rRNA
Rfam family: Eukaryotic small subunit ribosomal RNA
Source: RNAcentral
UUGGAGGGCAAGUCUGGUGCCAGCAGCCGCGGUAAUUCCAGCUCCAAUAGCGUAUAUUAAAGUUGUUGCAGUUAAAAAGCUCGUAGUUGAAUUUCGGGAUCAAAUUGUUGGUCGUGCCUCGGUACGCACUGGUAUUAUUGGUUCCUACCUUUUGAAGAACCGCGAUGUCAUUAAUUUGGUGUCGUGGGGAAUCAGGACUGUUACUUUGAAAAAAUUAGAGUGUUUAAAGCAGGCUUACGCUUGAAUACAUUAGCAUGGAAUAAUGAAAUAGGACGUUUGAUUCUAUUUUGUUGGUUUCUAGGAUCGACGUAAUGAUUAAUAGGGAUAGUUGGGGGCAUUAGUAUUCAAUUGUCAGAGGUGAAAUUCUUGGAUUUAUUGAAGACUAACUACUGCGAAAGCAUUUGCCAAGGAUGUUUUCAUUAAUCAAGAACGAAAGUUAGGGGAUCGAAGACGAUCAGAUACCGUCGUAGUCUUAACCAUAAACUAUGCCGACUAGGGAUCGGAUGAUGUUAAUUUUUUAAUGACUCAUUCGGCGCCUUACGGGAAAC